GAUGAAGAACGUAGCGAAAUGCGAUACGUAAUGUGAAUUGCAGAAUUCAGUGAAUCAUCGAGUCUUUGAACGCACAUUGCGCCCUCUGGUAUUCCGGAGGGCAUGCCUGUCCGAGCGUCAUUGCUGCCCUCAAGCACGGCUUGUGUGUUGGGCCCCGCCCCCCGAUCCCGGGGGGCGGGCCCGAAAGGCAGCGGCGGCACCGCGUCCGGUCCUCGAGCGUAUGGGCUUUGUCACCCGCUCUGUAGGCCCGGCCGGCGCCUGCCGAUCAACCAAACUUUUUUCCAGGUUGACCUCGGAUCAGGUAGGGAUACCCGCUGAACUUAAGCAUAUCAAUAAGCGGAGGA
RNAcentral lists this unclassified non-coding RNA (344 nucleotides) under soil metagenome. Its description in RNAcentral is "partial contains 5.8S ribosomal RNA, internal transcribed spacer 2, and large subunit ribosomal RNA". The stretch from base 1 to 120 matches the Rfam family "5.8S ribosomal RNA", at positions 35 to 154 of the family's 154-position model. The record is from RNAcentral.